RNAcentral lists this transfer RNA (51 nucleotides) under Metacrangonyx goulmimensis. RNAcentral's name for it is "transfer RNA Valine". Lineage: Eukaryota; Metazoa; Arthropoda; Malacostraca; Amphipoda; Metacrangonyctidae. The record is from RNAcentral.
AGAAAUGAUAAAUUUAUUACUUACAAUAAUAAAAACCUUAAGGCAUUUUUA